Molecule: ribosomal RNA, 253 nt
Filed under: uncultured bacterium
Lineage: Bacteria
Description: partial 16S ribosomal RNA
Rfam family: Bacterial small subunit ribosomal RNA
Source: RNAcentral
GACAAAGGUGCCGAGCGUUAGGCGGAAUCACUGGGCUUAAAGCGUGUGUAGGCGGGUCCGGCAGUACCCUGUGAAAUCCUCCGGCUCAACCGGAGAACUGCCUCGGAUACUGCGGGUCUCGAGGGUGAUAGGGGUAUGCGGAACUAUCGGUGGAGCGGUGAAAUGCGUUGAUAUCGAUAGGAACUCCGGUGGCGAAGGCGGCAUACUGGAUCACUUCUGACGCUGAGGCGCGAAAGCCAGGGGAGCAAACGGG